CCUACGGGAGGCAGCAGUGAGGAAUAUUGGUCAAUGGACGAGAGUCUGAACCAGCCAAGUAGCGUGAAGGAUGACUGCCCUAUGGGUUGUACACUUCUUUUAUAUGGGAAUAAAAUGUUCCACGUGUGGGAUUUUGUAUGUACCAUAUGAAUAAGGAUCGGCUACCUCCGUGCCAGAAGCCGCGGUAAUACGGAGGAUCCGAGCGUUAUCCGGAUUUUUUGGGGUUAAAGGGAGCGUAGGUGGAUUGGUAAGUCAGUUGUGAAAGUUUGCGGCUCAACCGUAAAAUUGCAGUUGAAACUGGCAGUCUUGAGUACAGUAGAGGUGGGCGGAAUUCGUGGUGCAGCUGUGAAAUGCUUAGAUAUCACGAAGAACUCCGAUUGCGAAGGCAGCUCACUGGACUGCAACUGACACUGAGGCUCGAAAGUGUGGGUAUCAAACAGGAUUAGAUACCCUAGUAGUC
RNAcentral lists this ribosomal RNA (460 nucleotides) under uncultured bacterium. RNAcentral describes it as "partial 16S ribosomal RNA". It matches the Rfam family "Bacterial small subunit ribosomal RNA", at positions 338 to 795 of the family's 1533-position model. The record is from RNAcentral.